Molecule: RNA transcript, 1793 nt
Organism: Gossypium raimondii (Peruvian cotton)
Lineage: Eukaryota; Viridiplantae; Streptophyta; Magnoliopsida; Malvales; Malvaceae
Gene name: phosphatidylinositol:ceramide inositolphosphotransferase 1
Exons: 13
Source: RefSeq, a predicted model, not a curated record
GUUUCUAAAUACAACUCAACUUGCUAGCUGCUGCUACGGUGUUUGGGCUAAUUGUUAAAAAAAAACCCUUCUGAACGGCUUCUCCGUGUUACCCUCGCUGUUUUAUUGUUCCGUUUUUCUCUUUAUUGUUACAAUUUUUAGCAAAAAAAAAUGAAAAAAAAGAAACAAAAAUUUUCCAUUUCAUUUAUAUCAAAACCCGAGGAGAAGAAAGACCUUUAAUACCAACCCAUUUCCCAUUACUUUGAUUCUCUUUCUUUGUUCUUCCUUUUGGGUUUUUGUUCUUGAUCGUAAAUCGCCGAGUCUUUGAUCGUUUCAAGAAUCGGCUACAUUGAAGGAAGCAGAGAAAGAGAAUAAUAAGAUAACCAUUUGUUUUAAAAAAAAUUUUGAGGACUUUAAUUUAGUUUUUAAAUGAUGUUGAUCAGAACUGGGUUGUUUUGAAGUACUAUGGAACUGAUUGGUAAACGAUUACAAGAUGACGCUUUACAUUGGUCGCGAAGCUUCAAAGUUAUGGAAGAGAAUUUGUGCAGAAACAAGUGCAGAGAGCAAUCUUUUUAUAGACAAUUGGAAAUACAUUAUUGCCGGUUUCGUUUUUCAGUACAUACACGGUGUAGCCGCUCGAGGAGUUCAUUAUCUACACCGGCCUGGACCGACACUACAGGAUCUUGGAUUCUUUCUUCUUCCAGAGCUGGGACAAGAUAAAGCCUACAUUAGUGAGACAGUGUUCAUGUUUGUCUUUCUAUCAUUUUUCUUGUGGACUUUCCAUCCUUUUGUUUUCAAGGUCAAAAAGUUCUAUACGGUUCAAAUUUGGUGCAGGGUGCUAGCAUAUUUAGUUGUUUCUCAGACUCUCCGAAUUUUCACUUUCUAUUCUACUCAGCUUCCUGGUCCAAAUUACCAUUGCCGACCGGGUUCAAAGCUUGCUAGAUUGCCAGAACCGGAUGGUGUGCUAGAAGUCCUUGUAAUUAAUUUUCCUCAAGGUGUAAUAUAUGGCUGUGGUGACUUGAUUUUUUCGUCACACAUGAUCUUCACCCUCGUCUUUGUUCUCACCUAUCAGAAAUACGGCACACGAAGAUGUAUAAAGCAAUUUGGUUGGUCGAUAGCUAUUAUUCAAAGUCUCUUGAUUGUAGCAUCUCGCAAACAUUACACAGUUGACGUAGUUGUCGCUUGGUAUACUGUUAAUUUAGUGGUAUUCUUCGUAGACAAGAAAUUGCCAGAAUUGUCCGGCAGAACUAAUGGAAGUUCGCUUAUUUUGUUACCCUUGAGCACCAAAGAUAAAGAUAAAUGGACCAAAGAAGAGAAUCACAAACUUUUGAACGGGAAUUCUGUAAACCCUGCUGAUCGGAGGCCAAGAUCUCAAAGUAAUGGCAAGAAUCUGGAAGAUGUCAAUAUAAACCAGGUCGAUACUUCAAUGAACAGUACACCAUAAUGGGGGACUGUUUUGAAACCAUAUCGUUCUUGGAUUUAAAGACUCGACUUCUUCCAAAAAUGGAUUUGCAGGUGAGAAGUGCUUGAAUCUUAAAAGAACUGAAAUCCCAAAAGGAGGUACGAACUAUGGCCAAUCUUUGAAAACUCUGGUUCCUGUGACUAAAAUGGCUAUGGUGAUUUCAAUACCCUGGGGCCACCACUUGUCUACAAUUCUUACCCUUUUUCAGUACCUUUGAAUGGGGCAAUGAUGUACAUGGAAAAAAGAAAAAGGCUUAUUUUCGUAGCCAGGCUGCUUAGUCUUUAUUGCUUCUGUAGGGAAACCCUUUUUCUUGUAAUGUUCCAAUUAAUAUACCUUCCACGGGUUUUUUUAA